UUGAACUGAAGAGUUUGAUCAUGGCUCAGAUUGAACGCUGGCGGCAGGCCUAACACAUGCAAGUCGAGCGGAAACGAUCCUAGCUUGCUAGGAGGCGUCGAGCGGCGGACGGGUGAGUAACGCGUGAGAAUCUACCCAUGAGUGGGGGACAACCCGGGGAAACUCGGGCUAAUACCGCAUACGCCCUACGGGGUAAAGCAGGGGACCUUCGGGCCUUGCGCUGAUGGAUGAGCUCGCGUCGGAUUAGCUUGUUGGUGAGGUAAAGGCUCACCAAGGCGACGAUCCGUAGCUGGUCUGAGAGGAUGAUCAGCCACACCGGGACUGAGACACGGCCCGGACUCCUACGGGAGGCAGCAGUG
RNAcentral lists this ribosomal RNA (359 nucleotides) under Alcanivorax sp. RNAcentral describes it as "bacterial SSU rRNA". It matches the Rfam family "Bacterial small subunit ribosomal RNA", at positions 1 to 356 of the family's 1533-position model. Lineage: Bacteria; Pseudomonadati; Pseudomonadota; Gammaproteobacteria; Oceanospirillales; Alcanivoracaceae. The record is from RNAcentral.